This 1239-nucleotide ribosomal RNA is filed under the name Escherichia coli. RNAcentral describes it as "partial 23S ribosomal RNA". It matches the Rfam family "Bacterial large subunit ribosomal RNA", at positions 249 to 1529 of the family's 2925-position model. The record is from RNAcentral. Lineage: Bacteria; Pseudomonadati; Pseudomonadota; Gammaproteobacteria; Enterobacterales; Enterobacteriaceae.
GCGAGCGAACGGGGAGGAGCCCAGAGCCUGAAUCAGUGUGUGUGUUAGUGGAAGCGUCUGGAAAGGCGCGCGAUACAGGGUGACAGCCCCGUACACAAAAAUGCACAUGCUGUGAGCUCGAUGAGUAGGGCGGGACACGUGGUAUCCUGUCUGAAUAUGGGGGGACCAUCCUCCAAGGCUAAAUACUCCUGACUGACCGAUAGUGAACCAGUACCGUGAGGGAAAGGCGAAAAGAACCCCGGCGAGGGGAGUGAAAAAGAACCUGAAACCGUGUACGUACAAGCAGUGGGAGCACAGAGCAAUCUGUGUGACUGCGUACCUUUUGUAUAAUGGGUCAGCGACUUAUAUUCUGUAGCAAGGUUAACCGAAUAGGGGAGCCGAAGGGAAACCGAGUCUUAACUGGGCGUUAAGUUGCAGGGUAUAGACCCGAAACCCGGUGAUCUAGCCAUGGGCAGGUUGAAGGUUGGGUAACACUAACUGGAGGACCGAACCGACUAAUGUUGAAAAAUUAGCGGAUGACUUGUGGCUGGGGGUGAAAGGCCAAUCAAACCGGGAGAUAGCUGGUUCUCCCCGAAAGCUAUUUAGGUAGCGCCUCGUGAAUUCAUCUCCGGGGGUAGAGCACUGUUUCGGCAAGGGGGUCAUCCCGACUUACCAACCCGAUGCAAACUGCGAAUACCGGAGAAUGUUAUCACGGGAGACACACGGCGGGUGCUAACGUCCGUCGUGAAGAGGGAAACAACCCAGACCGCCAGCUAAGGUCCCAAAGUCAUGGUUAAGUGGGAAACGAUGUGGGAAGGCCCAGACAGCCAGGAUGUUGGCUUAGAAGCAGCCAUCAUUUAAAGAAAGCGUAAUAGCUCACUGGUCGAGUCGGCCUGCGCGGAAGAUGUAACGGGGCUAAACCAUGCACCGAAGCUGCGGCAGCGACGCUUAUGCGUUGUUGGGUAGGGGAGCGUUCUGUAAGCCUGCGAAGGUGUGCUGUGAGGCAUGCUGGAGGUAUCAGAAGUGCGAAUGCUGACAUAAGUAACGAUAAAGCGGGUGAAAAGCCCGCUCGCCGGAAGACCAAGGGUUCCUGUCCAACGUUAAUCGGGGCAGGGUGAGUCGACCCCUAAGGCGAGGCCGAAAGGCGUAGUCGAUGGGAAACAGGUUAAUAUUCCUGUACUUGGUGUUACUGCGAAGGGGGGACGGAGAAGGCUAUGUUGGCCGGGCGACGGUUGUCCCGGUUUAAGCGUGUAGGCUGGU